Long non-coding RNA from Protopterus annectens (West African lungfish), 789 nucleotides. RefSeq lists it as uncharacterized. The transcript is spliced from 3 exons. NCBI's taxonomy places the organism in Eukaryota, Metazoa, Chordata, Ceratodontiformes, Protopteridae. The record is from RefSeq and is a predicted model, not a curated record.
GUCCCAAUAAGCUGAUGGCUUCUUUUCGGGGAAGACUCAAGGUGGCAUUUAUACAACUGAAACAUAAAUGCAUAUUUAUAUAUGUACAUACAGACGCACGGAUAUGACCGCAUACAAAUACACUAAAAUACAGACUGUGCUGUCAGUAUUUAAAUCAGGCAGCAAAAACUACAGAGUAUCAAAACCAACGAUGUCUGUGGACAGUUGAAACUGCCAGUCAGCUGAGAUGGAAGCCAAUCAUGCAUACACGUGCACAUAACUUAGUCCAGAAACUGCGCUGUGCGAAAAGGAUACAGAGUCAACAAUUGGAUUAUAACUGCUGGACAUGUAAACAGUCUGCGAAUGAGAAUAACAUCCACAUCCACCAUCCAAUCUACCCAUCAUACCCCCAAAAUCUCCUCACACAGUUCUCCCAUUACAGUAAGCCUACCUUUCAGAGUUUACUAACAAACACAACUUAUGCUGAUAAACUGAUAAACAAUUAACCCAAACCAUAAUCUCUUACUCAAACUAACUUCACAACUUAACUCACCCCCUACUUCUACUCUAAUAACCAACAUCAUGAUCCUCAAAUCUCUAUCCCUACUUACUCAAAUAAUAUUUCUAAUUAGGAAACCAGUGCAAAGGCAAGAAGUGCAAAAAAUUCCCAGUAAUAGCGUAGUAAAACUUUAAUAACCGCUUUCGUCUAAAGACUUCAUCAGAAUACAAAAUAAUAAAAUCAGCCUGCUUUAAAUAACACUCCACAUGAACAAUUAAACAAUUAAUCAAUUAAAAAAAUGUAUAAUUGUU